RNAcentral lists this non-coding RNA (29 nucleotides) under Cricetulus griseus (Chinese hamster). The record is from RNAcentral. Lineage: Eukaryota; Metazoa; Chordata; Mammalia; Rodentia; Cricetidae.
CCCGGGCCUUUGAUUGCUGGCACAGCAAG